Liolophura sinensis is the source of this 617-nucleotide long non-coding RNA. RefSeq lists it as uncharacterized. The record is from RefSeq and is a predicted model, not a curated record. Lineage: Eukaryota; Metazoa; Mollusca; Polyplacophora; Chitonida; Chitonidae. The transcript has 3 exons.
CAGAUCAGUGAGGGGGACGGGAUUUGUCACAGGGACCACGUUCUGUGUUCAGCCAGUCGUCCUGAUACCUAGCUAAUACGUAUACAUUCACCGUUUACGUUCAUUCCAAAGACUUGUAUCUUUCCUCGGGGUGAACAGUUGUGAAAACUUUAAGAUGUGUCUUGUUAGAGGACAACUGUCCAUGUAUAUGUCAAUCUUCCUGACAAUUCUGACAGCUGGACUGCCAGUAUGUUCCGUAGAUAGUGAAGUAAGUAUCUCCGACGCCUGUCACGGAUCAUCACUUUUCAGUCAAACACACAACAAAUUAGAGUGUGACGAGGGGACUCAGAUCUGUAUAUUAGAGGUCAAGUUUUACCAGUGGAAUCCAAACGACCAACUUUGUCCUCAUGAGAUAUCAGCCCCUGUGCCUGACCGAUGUUGCCGUGGUAACACAAGCCGAUGUAGCUGGGUUAGAAAUACAAACGAUGACCGCCAUAAGUUACAGGAAAAUUGUACUGGCCAAAGGCAGUGUGAUCUUCAUUCCUCCAGUUCGAAACUAGUAGCUGACCCGUGUGUACAUCCCGGUGACAUAUCCACAGUCAGCAGCGUGAGAUCGAUCACAUACACAUGCACUUCUU